This 222-nucleotide long non-coding RNA is filed under the name Mytilus galloprovincialis (Mediterranean mussel). The record is from RNAcentral. Lineage: Eukaryota; Metazoa; Mollusca; Bivalvia; Mytilida; Mytilidae.
UUAAGGAAGCUCGCUUGUCAUGUUUUGGAAUUUUGGUCAGAUUUUCGGAAUCCUCUGGUUUUAUCCAUUUGAAUGCCUUAACAAAAUUUGCCCGGUGACCCCCAUUUUUCUUUUUAUAAUUCUUUUACACGUAUAAUGAUAAGCUGUCUGUUAAAGUCUUAUAAAAUUUAAAUUACUUUUUAAUAAGUUUUGAGGACUUAAACUUGUCAAUGAUAAAGCUAU